CAGUCGCCGCGGUAAUACGAAGGGUGCAAGCGUUAAUCGGAAUUACUGGGCGUAAAGCGUGCGUAGGCGGUGAGUUAAGUCUGCUGUGAAAUCCCCGGGCUCAACCUGGGAAUGGCAGUGGAUACUGGCUCGCUAGAGUGUGGUAGAGGAUAGUGGAAUUUCCGGUGUAGCAGUGAAAUGCGUAGAGAUCGGAAGGAACAUCUGUGGCGAAGGCGACUAUCUGGGCCAACACUGACACUGAGGCACGAAAGCGUGGGGAGCAAACAGGAUUAGAUACCCCUGUAGUCCCUGUCUCUUAUAC
RNAcentral lists this ribosomal RNA (301 nucleotides) under uncultured bacterium. RNAcentral's name for it is "partial 16S ribosomal RNA". It matches the Rfam family "Bacterial small subunit ribosomal RNA", at positions 509 to 807 of the family's 1533-position model. The record is from RNAcentral.